Molecule: long non-coding RNA, 1532 nt
Filed under: Macaca fascicularis (crab-eating macaque)
Lineage: Eukaryota; Metazoa; Chordata; Mammalia; Primates; Cercopithecidae
Description: lncRNA (ENSMFAG00000064407.1)
Source: RNAcentral
UUUUUUUUUUUUUUUUUUUUUUGAGACCAAGUCUUGCUCUGUUGCCCAGGCUGGAGUGCAGUGGCAUGAUCUCAGCUCGCUGCAACAUCUGUCUCCCCAGUUCACCCAGUUCAAGGGAUUCUCCUGCCUCAACUUCCUGAAUAGCUGGGAUAACAGGCAUGCGCCACCAUACACGGCUAAUUUUUGUAUUUUUAGUAGAGACGGGGUUUUCCCAUGCUGGCCACACUAGUCUCAAACUCCUGGCCUCAAAUGAUCCACCUGACUCAGCUUCCCAAAGUGCUGGGAUUACAGGCAUGAGCCACCGCGCCCGGCCGCAAGACCACAUUUCUACAAAAAAUUUAAAAAUUGGCCAGGCAUGGUAGUGAACAUCUGUAGUCCCAGCUACUCUGGAGCCUGAAGUGGGAGGAUUGCUUCAGCUCAGGAGUUCAAGGCUGUGGUGAGCUAUGGUCGUACCACUUCACUCCAGCCAGGGUGAUAGAAUGAGACCUCAUCUCAAAAAAAAAAAAAAAGAAAAAGAAAUCAUUAAAGAGAAAAAUCUGGCAUGCAGGCAUUAAGUUAACUUUAUAGGACACGGCAUAGCCCAUUCUUCUCCAUCUCCAGGCAUGUACAAGCUCACUGCUUUCUGUAUGUGGUUACCCUAUUCUGGAGCUGCACACCGAAGAUUUGGGGUAGAUGUGACAAUGCAGAGAAAUGUUUUUCAGUUGUGAAAAUCUCUUCUUUUUAUGUAUAUAAUCCCAUAUCAAUUAUUGGGGCUUUUCUGUACUUCCAGGAGGCACUGUCACCAAAAGACCUUUAGGAAAUCAAUCAGUGUGGCAGAAUAAAAAGACCACUGUUCGUCUUGCAGAGAAGGGCUGGUACAAAUGAAAGCAGCUGCUGUUCCUCCUUGCUACCAAUUGUAAACGUGAGAAGUCAGAGGUGUGGGUACAACAUCGAUCCUUCAGGCACUCUAUAAAUAUUAAUUGAAGGAAGGUGUUGAUAAGGCAAAGAAACUUAUACUUCUACAAAUGGUGACAGUCAAUGCUCCAGGCUCAAUUUUAAAAAGGAAAAGACAAACAAAGGAGUCCAGAUCAUUAGAAGGACUUUCUUGGCAGUGCUAAGUUACAGCCAUCAGCAGAGCAAGCCCUGGCUAAGGCUAAUGUCACAUAGUAAGAUGAUUUAUUCUUUCCCCUAAGUCAGCCUUGAAAAUACAUUUUUAAAAUUGCCUGUCCACAGCAUAGUUUUACUGUGACAAGGCACUCGGCUCCUUAACAUUCACCUGGCACAAUGCUCUCAACAGCGAAGCCAAGUGGCAGAAAGUGCUGGGCCACAUUGCCAGGGUACAUGCCAGUCGGUUCACCAGAGAGUUUGCGAACCCCAGCUCCUGGGCUCUGUCUGCUGCACUGACAUUCUAUUAAAUCCCAUAGACCAGAAAAAGCUUCAAUGCUUAGAUGCAAGAAAGAGCUGAAGUGUUAGUGGCUACUAAGCCCAGGACUCAGCCAUGACUAGGAACGGUAUCAAUGACCAGGGAAGGAUAUGGUGAGGCCGAGAUGCCA